This 438-nucleotide ribosomal RNA is filed under the name Phaonia valida. RNAcentral describes it as "partial 16S ribosomal RNA". The record is from RNAcentral. Lineage: Eukaryota; Metazoa; Arthropoda; Insecta; Diptera; Muscidae.
UUUAAAUGGCCGCAGUAUAUUAACUGUGAAAAUAUAGCAUAAUCGUUAGUCUUUUAAUUGAAGGCUGGUAUAAAUGGUUGGAGGAGAUAUUAAAAGGAUAAUUAAAAGGCUAAAAUAAAUUUGAAAGACGAGAAGACCUUAUAAAUCUUUAAAUUUAAGCUAUUAACAUUUUUUUUGAUUUUUUCUGUUAUAAUAGUUUAUAGAAUUUUAUUGGGGUGAUAUUAAAAUUUAAUAAACUUUUAAUUUUUAUUUACAUUAAUUUAUGAAUUAUUGAUCUAUUAUUAAUGAUUAAAAAAUUAAGUUACUUUAGGGAUAACAGCGUCAUUUUUUGAAGAGUUCUUAUCGAUAAAAAAAGAUUGCGACCUCGAUGUUGGAUUAAGAUAUAAUUUUAGGUGUAGGUGCUUACAUUUUAAGUCUGUUUUUCUUACAUGAUCUGAG